This 124-nucleotide ribosomal RNA is filed under the name uncultured bacterium. Its description in RNAcentral is "partial 16S ribosomal RNA". It matches the Rfam family "Bacterial small subunit ribosomal RNA", at positions 118 to 243 of the family's 1533-position model. The record is from RNAcentral.
UGAGCAAUCUGCCCUUCUCUUUGGAAUAAGCGUUGGAAACGACGUCUAAUGCCGAAUACGACCUCCUUUCGCAUGAUCGGAGGUGGAAAGCUCCGGCGGAGAAGGAUGAGCUCGCGGCCUAUCC